This is a non-coding RNA of Paramuricea clavata, 426 nucleotides long. The record is from the annotation of a GenBank genome assembly. NCBI's taxonomy places the organism in Eukaryota, Metazoa, Cnidaria, Anthozoa, Malacalcyonacea, Plexauridae.
AACAUGAUAUGCAUGCUAAAAAUGUGUCGUUCCAGAAAAGAUCCAUACUCCCCCCAUGGAGGAAAUUUCUGCCGUCCGGAGGGGGAGGGGAGAAAAAAUUGUUUCUGAUAAUAGUAAAUGUAUUAGGACAUCCGAAGGGGGUAGGGGGGUUAACUUCCUAUUUCCUCUGUGGAGGUGGUAUGGAUGUUUUCUGGAAUGCCCCAAUAACAAAAACAGUAAAACACAUAGCAUCACCGGCAUUGGCCAUUGACAAUGGCAUAGGUAAUCUAUUUGUCUUGCUUACAUUUCUGGGAUGGCAAGAAAUAGUUGAAAGCACUAUUUCUUUGAAAGGGAACUAUUGGGUAACAUAAGCUUUUCUAAAAUUGGCUAUCCAGGUAAACACAUUUUUAUCCAGGUAAACACACAAGGGGUCUAUUUAUAUUUGCA